GCCAGGCACAGUUGUACGCACCUAUAGUCCCAGAUAUUCUGGAGGCUAAGGCAGAAGAAUCACCUGAGCCCCAGAGUUCAGGGCUAUAGUGUGCUAUGUUGAUCUGGUGUUCACGCGAAGUUCUGCAUCAACAUGGUGACUUCCUGGGAGUGGGGGACCACCAGGUUGCCUAAGGAGGGGUGAACCUGCCCAGGUUGGAAAUAGAGCUGGUCAAAACUCCUGCGCUCAUCAGUAGUAGAAUUGCACCUGUGAAUAGCCAGCCACCGCCCUCCAGCAUGGGCAACAUAGCAAGACCCUGCCUCUU
Molecule: unclassified non-coding RNA, 304 nt
Organism: Macaca fascicularis (crab-eating macaque)
Lineage: Eukaryota; Metazoa; Chordata; Mammalia; Primates; Cercopithecidae
Rfam family: Metazoan signal recognition particle RNA
About the family: The signal recognition particle (SRP) is a universally conserved ribonucleoprotein. It is involved in the co-translational targeting of proteins to membranes. The eukaryotic SRP consists of a 300-nucleotide 7S RNA and six proteins: SRPs 72, 68, 54, 19, 14, and 9.
Source: Ensembl